This 1137-nucleotide ribosomal RNA is filed under the name Halomonas sp. RP15. RNAcentral's name for it is "bacterial SSU rRNA". It matches the Rfam family "Bacterial small subunit ribosomal RNA", at positions 67 to 1201 of the family's 1533-position model. Lineage: Bacteria; Pseudomonadati; Pseudomonadota; Gammaproteobacteria; Oceanospirillales; Halomonadaceae. The record is from RNAcentral.
CGGUAACAGAUCUAGCUUGCUAGAUGCUGACGAGCGGCGGACGGGUGAGUAAUGCAUAGGAAUCUGCCCGGUAGUGGGGGAUAACCUGGGGAAACCCAGGCUAAUACCGCAUACGUCCUACGGGAGAAAGGGGGCUUUGGCUCCCGCUAUUGGAUGAGCCUAUGUCGGAUUAGCUAGUUGGUGAGGUAAAGGCUCACCAAGGCAACGAUCCGUAGCUGGUCUGAGAGGAUGAUCAGCCACAUCGGGACUGAGACACGGCCCGAACUCCUACGGGAGGCAGCAGUGGGGAAUAUUGGACAAUGGGGGCAACCCUGAUCCAGCCAUGCCGCGUGUGUGAAGAAGGCCUUCGGGUUGUAAAGCACUUUCAGCGAGGAAGAACGCCUGGUGGUUAAUACCCGCCAGGAAAGACAUCACUCGCAGAAGAAGCACCGGCUAACUCCGUGCCAGCAGCCGCGGUAAUACGGAGGGUGCAAGCGUUAAUCGGAAUUACUGGGCGUAAAGCGCGCGUAGGUGGCUUGAUAAGCCGGUUGUGAAAGCCCCGGGCUCAACCUGGGAACGGCAUCCGGAACUGUCAGGCUAGAGUGCAGGAGAGGAAGGUAGAAUUCCCGGUGUAGCGGUGAAAUGCGUAGAGAUCGGGAGGAAUACCAGUGGCGAAGGCGGCCUUCUGGACUGACACUGACACUGAGGUGCGAAAGCGUGGGUAGCAAACAGGAUUAGAUACCCUGGUAGUCCACGCCGUAAACGAUGUCGACCAGCCGUUGGGUGCCUAGAGCACUUUGUGGCGAAGUUAACGCGAUAAGUCGACCGCCUGGGGAGUACGGCCGCAAGGUUAAAACUCAAAUGAAUUGACGGGGGCCCGCACAAGCGGUGGAGCAUGUGGUUUAAUUCGAUGCAACGCGAAGAACCUUACCUACCCUUGACAUCUACAGAAGCCGGAAGAGAUUCUGGUGUGCCUUCGGGAACUGUAAGACAGGUGCUGCAUGGCUGUCGUCAGCUCGUGUUGUGAAAUGUUGGGUUAAGUCCCGUAACGAGCGCAACCCUUGUCCUUAUUUGCCAGCGAGUAAUGUCGGGAACUCUAAGGAGACUGCCGGUGACAAACCGGAGGAAGGUGGGGACGACGUCAAGUCAUCAUGGCCC